This 300-nucleotide ribosomal RNA is filed under the name uncultured bacterium. RNAcentral describes it as "bacterial SSU rRNA". It matches the Rfam family "Bacterial small subunit ribosomal RNA", at positions 30 to 334 of the family's 1533-position model. The record is from RNAcentral.
AUUGAACGCUGGCGGCAUGCCUAACACAUGCAAGUCGAACGGUAACAGGCUCUUCGGAGUGCUGACGAGUGGCGGACGGGUGAGUAAUGCGUAGGAAUCUGCCUUUUAGUGGGGGAUAACCUGGGGAAACCCAGGCUAAUACCGCAUGUGGUCUAAGGACUAAAGCUGGGUUUUACCUGGCGCUUAGAAGAGGAGCCUACGUCAGAUUAGCUAGUUGGUGGGGUAAAGGCCUACCAAGGCGAAGAUCUGUAGCUGUUCUGAGAGGAUGAUCAGCCACACUGGGACUGAGACACGGCCCAG